CCUCGUGAGAAGAAGAGCUUCGGAAGAAAGGUUAUUAAUUUCCAAGAAAUUUUCAAGAAAUUCGAAACCAAAUGGCCAGAGUGCGCUCUACUGCUAGAGUUGAGCGCGAAGGAGACGAAGCCGAAGCUAUGGAAAUUGUUCCUAUCUCGGAAGCAAUGAAGCGAUCUGGGUUGAUGACAUCGGAAGACAUCCCUACUGCUGAAGCAGAACAAGCAGAUAUUGAAGAGACUGAUUCUGAAGGUGAUCACAGUAUCGCAGUACCGAGCAAGCCCAGCCACCUGGACUUCGGAAAGUCAACCGUCUCCAAGGCUGAUUUUCCUAAUAUGGUGAAGUCGGGCUACUUUAGCGAAGAAGAGAAAAAGCUGAUUUGCUUCGGUGGAGAAGAAACUACCCCGAAGCCACAGAAAGAUGAAAUAAUGAUUUUCAAGAGUUUCCUCAAAGCUGGUUUGAGAUUUUCUUUGAAUAGGAUGAUUGCUGAUGUGCUAAAGAAAUUUGGGAUCUACCUUCAUCAACUAACUCCUAACGCUAUUGUUAGGCUUAGUAUUUAUAUUUGGGCUCUCCGAAGCCAGGGGUGGAACCGUUUGCCGAAGGUUUCUGCCGAGUACACGAGCUACAUUACCAAACCAAGGCCAGACAGGAUGGGUUACAUGAAAAUUUUGGUUGUUAUAAUUUUGCCUAUCGGAAAAGUACAAAAUUUCCUGUGAUCAGCUACCGAAGCAAGUGGCCGGCAGGCUGGAAAUCGGAAUGGUUCUAUGUGAAAGUUGAUGAUGACAAGGAGAAGCUGGUACAGAGUCCGCUUGAACUGAUCUUCGGAGAGACCAGACCCCAAUGUAGUAUGACACCAGAAGGUCCAACCCAAACGGCGUUGGCCGAAUUCAGGAUUAUUGCAGAGCACAUUGGCACUAGAGAUCUAGUGCAGGAAUUUAUGGCGUUCAAAAUAUUUCCAACUAUGAAGGAAUGGGCUAUGCCGAAGCUCGAAAGAGAGAAGAAGGAGGGGGAGCUUGUCCGCCUGCCCUACCACUAUAAGUUCAAGAAAUAUUUUAAAGCACCCUGCCAAGAAUGGCUCGAAACAAUCGAAGUAAUGAGUACUGAAAUUCUUGGGAAUUAUUCUAAAAAAGAGGAUCAAUUGAUGACAGCAGCCUUCGGCACCCGGCCGAAACGAAGGCUAAACAGAGUGCUUGAUGCUAUAGGCUUUGAAUACCCUGACUACGAGCGGCUAGACAAGGGUGCCGAAGGGCAGAAAAGGAAAAGAGUAGCUAGCACUUUGAUUAAAGACGACGAAGAUCAACCAAAAAAGAAGAAAGAAAAGUUUGAACCGAAGGUAGUUGCUCCAAGAAAAAGAAAAGCUGCAUCUCCAAAACCUGUAUCUCCAGAACUAAAGAGAUUGGUCCGAGAUGAGGAAAUUCCUGCGACACCUUCUGCUGCUGAAGUAGAAGAAAUUCUGAAGGUAAUGACUGAAUCUUUGCCUGUCAAGCUAAGUCCGCUGGCGCCGGAACUGACGAAGUUUUUUCAGAAGGACAAAGAAGCUUCGGCAGCAGAAAGCCCUGCGAAGCCGAAAAAACGGAGAAUCAUUCAAGUGACAGAUGUGAUUCAUCAGAUGCCGCCACCGGUAUCGGCGUCAAAAAUUGCUAUUGUUGAGACCGCCGAAGCCGAAGCCGCCGCAGCCGAAGCUACCGGGGCCGAAACCACUGAAAUUGCAAUCGCCGGAGCCGAAGCCACCGGAGCCGAAGCUGCCAGAACCGAAGCUACCGGAGCUGAAGCUACCGGAGCCGAAGCCGAGACCACCGAAGAUUCGAACCUGGAAACCACACUUGAAGUUAUUGACAAUAUACUUCUGAAAAUGGCUGAAGAAGAAGCUGAUGUGGCUGCGGUGAACACGGCUACUGAAAAGGGAAAAGAGCAGGUUGAAGACAUUUUGGAGGAAGGAAUUAACAGGUGCUAAAAAAGAAGAGCUGAAAAAAUAUGCUAUAUCCUGUGGAUAUAAAACAGGGUCUAUGCUAUUUGGUGGGGUCAACGAAGGGAAGCUAAGGUGCCUUCGGAAUCGCACCGAGGCCAAAGUUGUUAGGACCUUCCCCAAAAGCGUUGGCCUGCCGAAGAUAGAAGCGGACCUUUGUAGAUACCAGCGACAACAUAUCGCCGGUAGCCUGCUCUAUGCUAAUUUUAAGGUGAAAAUAUUAUUAUUAUUUUAUUAUUAUUAUUGUUUUUAUGUUGUUUUCUGACGAAGGUUGUUUUGGCAGAGUAUACUAUUAAGUAAAGUGCUUAGAAUGCAACAAGAUCUUGAAGAGGAGAAGAACAAAGCUAUCAUCAAAGAUUUAGAAGAAAAAGUUGAAAAUUACGAAGCUGUUCUGAAGAAGGACUUCACCAUUCAAGAUCUUGAAAUCAUAGCUAAAGAACACGAAGGUGCCCUAGAAAAGAAAGACUUUGUUAUUCAGUCUAUGGAAGGCUCCUUGGCUGAGGUCCAAGCCGAAAAUGAUAGUUUAAAGAAUGAAUUACUCGAAAAGUCAGAAAAAUUUGAGCAAGAAAAGAAGAACCUUGAAACAAGUCUCAAGACUGAGAUUGAGAAAAAUUCAAAUUUGCAAAAAUCAUUGAAGGAACUUCAAGAGAAAUGCCUAAAUUUCGGCAGCCGAUGCGUGCAGCAGCUGAAGGAUGUGUUUCACUCUAUCGGAGCCAGUUCUGAAAAAUUUUCACCUUCAGCCGAAAACCUACCCAGCACCUUGGAACAUAUUGAAGGUGAGGUUGAUGCUCUUGACGAAGUUAUUGGUGGGCAUGCCGACUUCUGCGCCCUGGUAGCUUCUCGAGGCACAGCUACUGCUUUUCUGAAGGCUGGCUGUACGCACGGAAAGAUUGUGAAUAGGCCAAACUUCUGCUUGUCAGCAGCAGAUUUGAUUGAUAUCCCAAGCUUAGCCCGAAGCAUCGGAAAUAGAUUUAUGACCCAAAUUUGGGUAAAUGUCGGGCGAAAAAUGGCUGGUGACGAAGCUCAAAGCCACCUUAAGCCAGUGAGAAACUUAUAUUUGUUACUUUUACCUUCUCCUUGAAAUUUGCACCUUUCUUAUUCUGUUCUUUAAUAUGUGCAGGAUGACGAAGCUGAAGUAUGACGAAGCUGAAGUAUGACGGCCUGAAGCUUAAUAGUUGUUAUAAUAGACUUUCCUGCAAAAAAUUCUGGAGAGAUCCUUGUAAUAUAAUUUAUGGAAAAAACUUAUGUAAAUUUGUACAUACCUUGUAAUAUAUCUUGUCUCCUUUAUCCGUGUACAAUCUGCUUUGUUGUGAACGAAACUACACUUUUGAGCCGAAGGCGAAAAACUCCUUCCCUUCUUUUCGUACACAACGAAGCAUGAAAAUUUUCCUCUUUCUUCAAAGUUUUUCCUCCUUGCUGAAGCAUCUAUCUUUUUUGUGUGGUAUGAUGAUGAUGAUUCUAUAUAUGUCUAAAUGAAUGUUUAUGAAUGCAAAUGACAUGAUGUAAUGUAUCGUGCAAAUGAAUAUCGGAACACAUUCAAAAACCAUAAUCAUAGCCUUUCAUCCCCUUGGGAGCGAUUCAAAUCUUUUUGCCGUUUACUUUUCGGCUCCACCGUUUACUUUUCGGUGUAUCAGCGCUGACUUUUCGCUGUAAGACUCCCUUAGGAGCUUCUUCGCCUUUUACUUUCAGCGGAAUCAGUGUUAAUUUUUCGCUGUAAGCCUCCCUUAGGAGCUUCUUCGCCUUUUACUUUCAGCGGAAUCAGCGUUUAUUUUUCACUGUAAGCUCUGCAUUCCCUUAGGAACGACUUUUGAGCUUCUCCCUGUUUUCUUUUCUUUUUCCUUUGCAUUUACAUUUACAUUUUUUGGGGGAUAUCACUCUUAUAGAAUUGAAAUAAGGAAAAGAAAAAUUACAUGUUGUGGCCCCAUUAAAAACCUUUCUCCCCC
Molecule: long non-coding RNA, 3897 nt
Filed under: Zea mays
Lineage: Eukaryota; Viridiplantae; Streptophyta; Magnoliopsida; Poales; Poaceae
Description: long non-coding RNA (ZMAY_LNC004361)
Source: RNAcentral